UUCAGGGACAACGUUGGUUUCCUACCCUAAAAUAAAUCUCUCUCCUAUGUCGGACGGGAAAUCUGGCAACAUUUAUGCCAGAGGACUGUAUGUGUUUGACGGAGCAGGAGUACAACAAAGUUGCUUUCUUUUUGCUUUAAAAUGAGGACGAAGAAUGGGACUCUGCUGUUGAUGAUUUGUGCCUUUUGUGUGGGAGUCACUGAAGAUGAAGAUCGAGAGAAAUGUGAUCCAAACCCCCAGGAUUUUAAAUUGUAUGAGCCAACAGAGGCAGUGGUCGGCAAUAAUGUCACUCUCCCAUGUGUCCCGCUUACAUUCUCCAUUAAUCCUGAUGAUGUUGCUGUCGAAUGGAACAAAGAUGGUCUACAGAUUUAUUUAAUUAAGGAAAAAAACAAAAAUUAUAUAAAGAAAGAGUUAAAAGGCAGAAUAGCUGAUAACAUUAGUGAGAUGAGAAAAGAAGGACACGCUUCCAUCAGCAUUACCAACCUGACAAAAACAGAUGGAGGAGAAUAUUGUUGCUGUAUCUAUCAGAUAAACAGCAAAGACAUGAAAUGCAUUAACCACACUUUGGGUACAAACAUUCUUGCACAUCUAGCCUUUCGGAAUGAUUUAAUUACAUUAAAAUAUCUUUAAA
Fundulus heteroclitus (mummichog) is the source of this 631-nucleotide long non-coding RNA. RefSeq lists it as uncharacterized. NCBI's taxonomy places the organism in Eukaryota, Metazoa, Chordata, Actinopteri, Cyprinodontiformes, Fundulidae. The transcript has 3 exons. The record is from RefSeq and is a predicted model, not a curated record.